GACGAACGCUGGCGGCGUGCUUAACACAUGCAAGUCGAACGGAAGGGCCCUGCUUUUGUGGGGUGCUCGAGUGGCGAACGGGUGAGUAACACGUGAGUAACCUGCCCUUGACUUUGGGAUAACUCCAGGAAACUGGGGCUAAUACCGGAUAGGAGCUCCUGCUGCAUGGUGGGGGUUGGAAAGUUUCGGCGGUUGGGGAUGGACUCGCGGCUUAUCAGCUUGUUGGUGGGGUAGUGGCUUACCAAGGCUUUGACGGGUAGCCGGCCUGAGAGGGUGACCGGCCACAUUGGGACUGAGAUACGGCCCAGACUCCUACGGGAGGCAGCAGUGGGGAAUAUUGCACAAUGGGCGGAAGCCUGAUGCAGCAACGCCGCGUGCGGGAUGACGGCCUUCGGGUUGUAAACCGCUUUCGCCUGUGACGAAGCGUGAGUGACGGUAAUGGGUAAAGAAGCACCGGCUAACUACGUG
Molecule: ribosomal RNA, 468 nt
Filed under: uncultured bacterium
Lineage: Bacteria
Description: partial 16S ribosomal RNA
Rfam family: Bacterial small subunit ribosomal RNA
Source: RNAcentral